Molecule: transfer RNA, 77 nt
Filed under: Alicycliphilus denitrificans
Lineage: Bacteria; Pseudomonadati; Pseudomonadota; Betaproteobacteria; Burkholderiales; Comamonadaceae
Also listed under: 3 other names
Description: tRNA-Met
Rfam family: tRNA
About the family: Transfer RNA (tRNA) molecules are approximately 80 nucleotides in length.
Source: RNAcentral
GGGGCGUUAGCUCAGUUGGUUAGAGCAGAGGACUCAUAAUCCUUUGGUCGCUGGUUCGAGCCCAGCACGCCCUACCA